UUCCAGACUCCUACGGGAGGCAGCAGUAGGGAAUAUUGCUCAAUGGGGGGAACCCUGAUGCAGCGACGCCGCGUGGGUGAAGAAGCGCCUCGGCGCGUAAAGCCCUGUCAGCAGGGAAGAAAAUGACGGUACCUGAAGAAGAAGCCCCGGCUAACUACGUGCCAGCAGCCGCGGUAAUACGUAGGGGGCGAGCGUUAUCCGGAUUCACUGGGUGUAAAGGGAGCGUAGACGGCCAAGCAAGCCAGGGGUGAAAGCCCGGGGCCCAACCCCGGGACUGCCCUUGGAACUGCUUGGCUGGAGUGCGGGAGGGGCAGGCGGAAUUCCUGGUGUAGCGGUGAAAUGCGUAGAUAUCAGGAGGAACACCGGCGGCGAAGGCGGCCUGCUGGACCGCGGCUGACGUUGAGGCUCGAAAGCGUGGGGAGCGAACAGGAUUAGAUACCCGAGUA
Molecule: ribosomal RNA, 446 nt
Filed under: uncultured bacterium
Lineage: Bacteria
Description: partial 16S ribosomal RNA
Rfam family: Bacterial small subunit ribosomal RNA
Source: RNAcentral